AAUCAACGCUGGCGGCGUGCCUCAGACAUGCAAGUCGAGCGAGAAAGUUCCCUUCGGGGAAUGAGUAAAGUGGCGCACGGGUGAGUAACACGUAGGUAAUCUACCUUCGGGUGGGGAAUAACCCAGGGAAACUUGGGCUAACACCGCAUAAUGCAGCGGCACUACAUGGUGACAGUUGUUAAAGCGGGGGAUUUUAGGACCUCGCGCCUGAAGAGGAGCCUGCGGCGGAUAGCUAGUUGGUAAGGUAACGGCUUACCAAGGCGACGAUCCGUAACCGGCCUGAGAGGGCGGUCGGUCACACUGACACUGACAUACGGGUCAGACUCCUAACGGGAGGCAGCAGUCGGGAAUUUUGGGCAAUGGGCGAAAGCCUGACCCAGCAACG
This 385-nucleotide ribosomal RNA is filed under the name uncultured bacterium. RNAcentral describes it as "bacterial SSU rRNA". It matches the Rfam family "Bacterial small subunit ribosomal RNA", at positions 32 to 396 of the family's 1533-position model. The record is from RNAcentral.